AUUAACGCUAGCGGCAGGCAUAAUACAUGCAAGUUGAACGGCAGCACAGGUAGCAAUACUGGGUGGCGAGUGGCGCACGGGUGCGUAACACGUAUGCAACCUACCCUAUACAGGCGAAUAACCUUUAGAAAUGAGGGCUAAUACGCCGUAGUAUUACAGAUGGGCAUCUAUUUGCAAUUAAAGAUUUAUCGGUAUAGGAUGGGCAUGCGUCCCAUUAGUUAGUUGGUAAGGUAACG
Molecule: ribosomal RNA, 236 nt
Filed under: uncultured bacterium
Lineage: Bacteria
Description: partial 16S ribosomal RNA
Rfam family: Bacterial small subunit ribosomal RNA
Source: RNAcentral